AUACGGAGGUAGCAAGCGUUAUUCGGAAUCACUGGGCGUAAAGGACGCGUAGGCGGGUUUGUAAGUCAGGUGUGAAAUCCUACAGCUCAACUGUAGAACUGCACUUGAAACUACAGACCUAGAGUAUGGAAGGGGCAGAUGGAAUUAGUGGUGUAGGGGUAAAAUCCGUAGAUAUCACUAGGAAUACCGAAAGCGAAGGCGAUCUGCUGGGACAUUACUGACGCUGAGGCGUGAAAGCGUGGGGAGCAAACAGGAUUAGAUACCCUAGUAGUCC
This 274-nucleotide ribosomal RNA is filed under the name uncultured bacterium. RNAcentral's name for it is "partial 16S ribosomal RNA". It matches the Rfam family "Bacterial small subunit ribosomal RNA", at positions 523 to 796 of the family's 1533-position model. The record is from RNAcentral.